Molecule: long non-coding RNA, 377 nt
Organism: Phalaenopsis equestris
Lineage: Eukaryota; Viridiplantae; Streptophyta; Magnoliopsida; Asparagales; Orchidaceae
Exons: 4
Source: RefSeq, a predicted model, not a curated record
CCCUCCUUUUCCACUCCUUUUCAACAGUCUGCUCCUGCACAAGCAUCAAGUAACUUUUCUUUUGGUAACCUUGGUCAGGCACAAAUAGCUCCUUCUGGAGGGUUUGGUAGCUUCCCCAGCUCCUUUAAUCAGGGAACUUUUGGACAGAGCCCUGCUAUUCAGGCUAACAUUGUCAUGCAACCCACGUCCAUAACAAAUCCUUUUGGAACGCUUCCUGUGAUGCCUCAGAUGUCUAUUGGUCGUGUGGGCUCUUCUGCUCCAUCAGUUCAAUAUGGAAUUUCCAGCAUGCCUGUUUCUGACAAACAAGCUCCAGUGGGGUAUUCAUCUUUAGUGGCUUCUAGACAUGUAUCACAGAGAAGAAUCCGAUUGCCAGCCAG